AUGUAUAAGGAAAUCUCAAAAAUAAAUGUAAAAAUAGAUUAUUUGAACAGACAUGGCAGUAAGAAGAUAAACAGAAGUCAAGCGCGUGGAAGAGUGUUCGACAGGACAUCGCUUGUCAUCAAGGAGGCACACCUUCCAUCUUUCUCGCUGAGGCAGCUGAGGAGGAAGGAGCCGUUGGGGGGAGGUAGGCUGGGGCCCCCCAGGCCGACUGUUGCCCAGAAGACCUGGUGCUUGGUUUCCGCAGGCCACGGUGUGCCGGGGUGUAGACGGCGGCUGCAGGCCCAGCCCUCCGGUUCUGGGCGCACUGACGGCAGAGGCUGUGAGGGGAACCCCAGAGCCUCGGGGCCACGAGGCCCAUUCAGGGGACUGCGAACUAAGGCCUUGCGAACAGGUGGGAGACGUCGCCGGCAGAUUCACAGGACGAACCACCUGGCCCCUGUGGCGGAUGCAAGGGCAGGUGCCAGGGCGGAGGUUGCGCCAGGACCCAAGGAACUGGGAACUCUCCCUGGAAACAGAGAGAUGAGAAAACUCCAGAAGGAAGGUUCUUGCGAGUAAAUCUGAUGAAGCGGUUUGCCAUGAGAAUCGCCUCUGACACUCCAAAGCAAAAGCACUGAACAAAAGUCGACUUUCACAGAAGUGGCUAUCGCAUGAUUUCUCCUGCAAGGGCCAGUACUUUCUAUUUCAUGAUGAUCUGCGUCCUCUGCUAUGCUUCAUCUCAUGCUUGACUGAUUGCAAGUGUGAAGGGGGGUUAACUGUAUUCGCUAUUGGCAAUUUAGCAUUAAUUGUAAUACGCUGUAAUCCAAAUUACAAUCUGUCAUUGCCAGUCAAAUUGUGAAGCGUUGUAAUUGCGUUUUAGAGUUCUGCUGCCGUUGAUGAUUGCUACCUCAUUUGUGUUUUAAUAUCCCGUGACGAAUUUGCAAAUGGAAAUACAAUCCUGUAACAAGCCAGGAAACAAGCAUUGUUCGUCCUAUUAUAACAGCUAGAAAAUUAUUUCUUAACAAAU
This 1003-nucleotide long non-coding RNA is filed under the name Vulpes vulpes (red fox). Its description in RNAcentral is "lncRNA (ENSVVUG00000008623.1)". Lineage: Eukaryota; Metazoa; Chordata; Mammalia; Carnivora; Canidae. The record is from RNAcentral.